AGUGAACGCUGGCGGUAUGCCUAACACAUGCAAGUCGAACGGCAGCACAGUAAGUUCUUGCUCUUACGGGUUGCGAGUCGCGUACGUUUGACGUAUACAUCGGACUCUACUUUUUCGUGUGCCAUAACGUAGCUAAACUUACUCUAAUACCGCAUUCGACCUACCGGUGAAAGCAUUUGUUCUUCUGACCUUUCGCGUUUGUUUGAGCCGAUGUCGGAUUAGCGAGUUGGCUGGGUAAAGCCCCACCAAGGCGACGAUCCGUAGCUGGUCUGAGAGGAUGAUCAGCCACACGGGAAGUGAGACACGGACCAGACUACUACGGGAGGCAGCAGUGGGGAAUAUUGGACAAUGGGCGAAAGCCUGAUCCAGCAAUACCGAGUGGGUGAAGAAGGCCUUCGGGUUGUAAAGCCCUUUUGUUGGGAAAGAAAAGCAGGAGGUUAAUACGAAGGUGGAAUGACGGUACCGAAAGAAUAAGCACCGGCUAACUACGUG
Molecule: ribosomal RNA, 492 nt
Filed under: uncultured bacterium
Lineage: Bacteria
Description: partial 16S ribosomal RNA
Rfam family: Bacterial small subunit ribosomal RNA
Source: RNAcentral